GGUAUAAAAUGUCUUUUGUGUAAUAUUGUGUUAUCAUUGAAGUUCAAAUUCGAGAUACCUAUUAACAAUCCUGAGAAAUGAAUAUGAAUAAGUUAAUUAUUUUAACAGUUUUUGUUUUUGGAUUUGUCCUGAUGAUGAGCAUGGUUAAGGCCGAUGAAGGACACGGUGGAUCUAUUGUUAAAAAUCAUCAUCCUGGAUUUUCGUCAUUAUUUUCUCAAACUGCAAAUUUAAGGCCAUUCAAUAAGGGAAAUAGAAAUGAAACGGAAGGAAAUACGAGUAAUAAACAUGAGUUAGGCUCAAAAAUGCCAUUUAGAAGAAACAAAAAUGGACAAAAACCGAAUGAAAGUACUAAAGAAGAGAAUAAAGAAGAAAAUAAUUAAAAAUUUAAACUUUAAUUGACACACAUUUUAGUUAAAUUAAAAAAAAAUGUUGUCUUGAUUUUAUACUUAUUAAUUAUUUAAAAAAAGGUUGUUUCUUAUUGACCGCAAAAAUCGUAAUAAAAAGGCAAAAUUUGUUGUUGUUUUUAAA
This is a long non-coding RNA of Eupeodes corollae, 528 nucleotides long. RefSeq lists it as uncharacterized. The record is from RefSeq and is a predicted model, not a curated record. The transcript has 2 exons. Lineage: Eukaryota; Metazoa; Arthropoda; Insecta; Diptera; Syrphidae.